This 205-nucleotide unclassified non-coding RNA is filed under the name uncultured Psathyrellaceae. RNAcentral describes it as "sequence contains ITS2". The record is from RNAcentral. Lineage: Eukaryota; Fungi; Basidiomycota; Agaricomycetes; Agaricales; Psathyrellaceae.
AAUUCUCAACCUCACCAGUUUUGUAAUGAGACAGGUGAAGGCUUGGAUGUGGGGGUUUGCAGGCUGCCUCAGUGCUGGUCUGCUCCUCUGAAAUGCAUUAGCGAGCUCAUAUUGAGCUUCCGUCUAUUGGUGUGAUAACUAUCUAUGCCGUGGAUUGGAACUCAUGCUUGCUUCUAACCGUCCGCAGGGACAAUUUACUUGACCA